Molecule: ribosomal RNA, 137 nt
Filed under: Alphaproteobacteria bacterium
Lineage: Bacteria; Pseudomonadati; Pseudomonadota; Alphaproteobacteria
Description: partial 16S ribosomal RNA
Rfam family: Bacterial small subunit ribosomal RNA
Source: RNAcentral
UCCAACUUGAGAGUUUGAUCCUGGCUCAGAGCGAACGCUGGCGGCAGGCUUAACACAUGCAAGUCGAGCGGGCGUAGCAAUACGUCAGCGGCAGACGGGUGAGUAACGCGUGGGAACGUACCUUUUGGUUCGGAACA